Molecule: long non-coding RNA, 1941 nt
Organism: Varanus komodoensis (Komodo dragon)
Lineage: Eukaryota; Metazoa; Chordata; Lepidosauria; Squamata; Varanidae
Exons: 2
Source: RefSeq, a predicted model, not a curated record
UCUCUUUCCGGAUGUCCCUUUGAGACGGCAGUAGGAACGGGUACCUGUGUUUGAAUAUCUGAAUAUUAACGUGGAUGUUAAAUAAUUCAACCAUUAUUUCCUCUGAGAAUGUUCAUGCAUUAGGAUAGUCCUGACUCGACUCUGGAUCAGUGAUGAGAUUUUGUAGUGUGCAUUUGUAAUGCCCACUGGAAGGAUCAGGGAUACAGAAACUUGACUUCAUCUAAGUCCCCAUUGACAAUCAAAUUCUGAAUUUUCUUCUCCAGUAUGACAGAAGCUUUUAAAAUUUGUGGCCUUUAAUGUGUUUAGCCAGAGCCAGUUUUCCCUUUGGACAAAAAUGCUUCCUGUCCCUAGCCUGGCUACAGCAGUCAGUGUAUAUAACUCAAGAUACCAUGUCAGAAGCAUUUGGUAACCUUCCUUUAAAUAAAUCUGUCACUACUGAGUGCUGUUUAAAUAGCUGGAUUUUCUGCUCUUGGAGCUCUCAAGGCACUUAAAUACUCUGUAGAUGCCUGUUGAAUAACACUGGUCUACAGAUUUUGGGAAAUUACUGACCACUGAGAUCAAAUGUGCUAAUUCUUACAUGUUUUGAUUAAAUGAAUUGGAAAACAGGUGAUUAAGGUGCUGGUUGGCUAAAGUUUUCAAGAUUUUUCACAAUAAAAACUUCUGCACAGGUGAGUUUAUUUGCCUGCAAGGGAAGAUGUCUGAUCAUGAUGCCUUGUAACCUAAUUUAUUCUUUUAUUGCAAGGUACAUUUGUUUUGGUCAGGUCUACAGAUCAUACAGUUAUAUCUGGUGGCUUGUUAAAGUAUCAUUGCCUAACUUUUCCAAGGAACAUUUGCAUGAUCCUUUCCCUCAGAAGCCAAGAUGCCUCAAAACUCUGUAAACAAUGCAGAUAAUUUCUGCUACAUUGUGGUGAGGUUAUAUUUGCAUCUCAAAAGUGCAGUAUGACAGCAGUGGUAAAGGCAUACUACCUAUAUUUUGGGUGCAAAAUAGGGGAUCAGGACAAGAGUUGGGCCCCUCAUUGUUGCAUUAAAUGUGCAACUUGAUCUGUGUAUUAUCAACUUACCUACAAGAAACAAAAAUCGGCCUUUUGCAGUCCGAAUGGUGUGGAGGGAACCCACUAAUAGUAGCAACUGCUAUUUUUGCAUGGUUCCCCCAGUUGCAAAAGGGAUCUCAAGAAAAGUGAAUCAUAGAAUAUCCAAACAUUCCCUCUGCACUGCUUCCUGUACCCCAUGGUGAGGGCUUUGCAAUUCCACAUCCACCAGAAUCCUACUCUAGACUCAGACAAUGAACGGGAUGCAGCUGAUCCGGGACCAUCGAUGUCAGCAGACCCAAACUUUAGCCCACCAAAUGCUCCUCAACCACAUCUGAUUUCACAGAGUGAACUAAAUGACCUGGUCAGGGAUUUGGAAUUGCCUAAGAGUAAGGCAGAGCUGCUGGGCUCCACAUUACAACAGUGGAACCUCUUGCAGAGCGAUGUCAGGAUCUCCAUUUUCCAUGAUAGCCAAAAAGAUCUGGUUCAGUAUUUCUCAGUGGAAGGUGAUUUGGUUUAUUAUAUCAAUGGCUUAAUGACAGCCCUGAUGGAAAGUUGUUACUGGUAUCAAUAAAAAUAUAUAAUGAUUGGUGUGGCACCAUUUUCAUUUCUCUAUCACUUCGCAGAAAAGUUAUGGAGCAUAAUCACACAUUCCCCCUUUGUAAUUUUGUAUUAUGUUGAUACCAUUUUGACCUGAAGCUGUAUCUUAGAAACGAGCCAAUUAAUACUUGGGACUUAAUUGUUCUUUAUUAGUAACCCAAUUCUGGUAAAAUGUAACUACUUUCAUUUCUGAGGCUUUCUCCUUGUAGACAAGUAUAAUUUGUGCAAAUGAUCACCCAUGUGUUGGCUUCCUGUGACUGUAGAUAAUUGCCUUAUACUGUGGCUUCAGCAUAUUAAAGUACAACUGAAGAAA